Molecule: transfer RNA, 68 nt
Filed under: Marmota monax (woodchuck)
Lineage: Eukaryota; Metazoa; Chordata; Mammalia; Rodentia; Sciuridae
Description: tRNA.Ala
Source: RNAcentral
GGAUUGUGGCUCAGUGGUAGAGUGCUCACUUAGCAAGCAAGAGGCACUGGGUUUGAUCCUCAGCACCA